GCGGUAGUUCAGUUGGUAGAGCACCGGUCUCCAAAACCGGCUGUCGCGGGUUCAAGUCCUGCCCGCC
This 67-nucleotide transfer RNA is filed under the name uncultured Treponema sp. It matches the Rfam family "tRNA". From Rfam's summary of the family: Transfer RNA (tRNA) molecules are approximately 80 nucleotides in length. Their secondary structure includes four short double-helical elements and three loops (D, anti-codon, and T loops). The record is from RNAcentral. Lineage: Bacteria; Pseudomonadati; Spirochaetota; Spirochaetia; Treponematales; Treponemataceae.